GACGAACGCUGGCGGCGUGCUUAACACAUGCAAGUCGAACGAUGAAGAAAAGAAUUUAAGCUUCGGCAGAAAUUCAUUUCGGAUUAGUGGCAGACGGGUGAGUAACGCGUGAGCAACCUACCUCUUACAAAGGGAUAGCCUCGGGAAACCGGGAUUAUUUCCAUAUAACAUUGCGACGAAGCAUUUCGAUGCAAUCAAAGCUACGGCGUUAAUAGAUGGGCUCGCGUCCCAUUAACCAGAUGGUGAGGUAACGGCUCACCAUAGUAACGAUGGGUAACCGGCAAGAGAGGGUGAACGGUCACACUGGAAAUGAGACACGGUACAGACUCCUACGGGAGGCAGCAGAGGGGAAUAUUGCACAAUGGAGGGAACUAUGAUGCAGCGACGACGCGUGAGUGAUGAAGGAAUUCGUUUAGAAAAACUCUGUUCUAUGGGAAGAAAAGGACUGUACCAUAGGAGAAAGCUCCGGCUAAAUACGUG
Molecule: ribosomal RNA, 480 nt
Filed under: uncultured bacterium
Lineage: Bacteria
Description: partial 16S ribosomal RNA
Rfam family: Bacterial small subunit ribosomal RNA
Source: RNAcentral